CACCGCGGUUAUACGAGAGACUCAAGUUGACAGUCAUCGGCGUAAAGAGUGGUUAAGAUGUAUAGAAACUAAAGCUAAAUGCCUUCAAAGCUGUUAUACGCUCUCGAAGGUAAGAAACCCAACUACGAAAGUGGCUUUAUUAAAUCUGACUCCACGAAAGCUGGGGCA
RNAcentral lists this ribosomal RNA (168 nucleotides) under Chaetodon kleinii (sunburst butterflyfish). RNAcentral describes it as "partial 12S rRNA". Lineage: Eukaryota; Metazoa; Chordata; Actinopteri; Chaetodontiformes; Chaetodontidae. RNAcentral also lists the same sequence under 1 other name. The record is from RNAcentral.